AAUGAACGCUGGCGGCGUGCCUAACACAUGCAAGUCGCGCGCGAUGGGGAGCAAUCCCGGAGAGCGGCGGACGGGUGAGUAACACGUGGGUAACCUGCCUGGGAAGCGGGGGAUAACCUGGGGAAACUCGGGCUAAUACCGCAUACGAUCACGGGGCUUCGGUCCUGUGCUGAAAGGUGGCCUCUUCUUGAAAGCUACUACUUCCAGAGGGACCCGCGCCUGAUUAGCUAGUUGGAGGUAACGGCCUACCAAGGCGACGAUCAGUAGCCGGCCUGAGAGGGUGAUCGGCCACACUGGAACUGAGACACGGUCCAGACUCCUACGGGAGCAGCAGUGA
This 337-nucleotide ribosomal RNA is filed under the name uncultured bacterium. RNAcentral's name for it is "bacterial SSU rRNA". It matches the Rfam family "Bacterial small subunit ribosomal RNA", at positions 29 to 357 of the family's 1533-position model. The record is from RNAcentral.